This 97-nucleotide transfer RNA is filed under the name Caldilineaceae bacterium. RNAcentral describes it as "tRNA-Met". It matches the Rfam family "tRNA". From Rfam's summary of the family: Transfer RNA (tRNA) molecules are approximately 80 nucleotides in length. Their secondary structure includes four short double-helical elements and three loops (D, anti-codon, and T loops). Further hydrogen bonds mediate the characteristic L-shaped molecular structure. tRNAs have two regions of fundamental functional importance: the anti-codon, which is responsible for specific mRNA codon recognition, and the 3' end, to which the tRNAs corresponding amino acid is attached (by aminoacyl-tRNA synthetases). tRNAs cope with the degeneracy of the genetic code in two manners: having more than one tRNA (with a specific anti-codon) for a particular amino acid; and 'wobble' base-pairing, i.e. permitting non-standard base-pairing at the 3rd anti-codon position. Lineage: Bacteria; Bacillati; Chloroflexota; Caldilineae; Caldilineales; Caldilineaceae. The record is from RNAcentral.
GGUGGAGCAGUGGCAGCUCGUCGGGCUCAUAACCCGAAGGUCGCAGAGCGAGGGCUUCAUAAUCCCUAGGUCGGUGGUUCAAGUCCACCCGUCGCCA